AUUGCAAGUUAUUUAAUUAAUCCUAAGUGCUGUGAGUGAUGUGAGAGUAAGAAGAAAAGAGCCAAUCAAUCACAAACACAAGGUUUUAUAGUGGUUCGGAGCUAACCCUUGCUCCUACGUCCACUCCCCAAGUCUCACUUGAGAAUUUCACUAUAACCCCCUUGGAUUACAGCCGGUUGUUUUGCAAGCUCACAACCAAACUUGUUGUUUUACGAGCUCACAACGAACUCGGUCGGUUUUCCCAGGCUCACCGACUAGAACCAACCCCGAUUGUUUUUUCGGGCUCACAAUCAAACCCUUACACACGUUGGUUUUAUCUUGGCUUACCAACAAACCUUAAUCCCCUUGAUUCAAUCCCCCGAUUGAACCAAGU
RNAcentral lists this long non-coding RNA (373 nucleotides) under Phoenix dactylifera (date palm). RNAcentral's name for it is "long non-coding RNA (PDAC_LNC011145)". The record is from RNAcentral. Lineage: Eukaryota; Viridiplantae; Streptophyta; Magnoliopsida; Arecales; Arecaceae.